UUUUUUUUUUUUUUUUUUUUUUUUACAAACCAGCCUUUUUUGUGAAUGUAUAGAGAACAUGGCUGCUAGCAGUUCCCAAGUUUAAAUCUUUGUGCACCGCUGUCAGGGGGAAAAGGAGGCAUUAACUAGUCCAGAGGGGGAAAAUAAUUAAGAGUGGCAUUCCUCAUUUCAGCUGGGCCAAUUAGCUGGCGCCUGAAUCCUGUUAAGAAUUUGGCAGUCCCCAAAAUGUCCACGCAUGGGAGAAGGUAGUCUCCGUCUCAGGAAAAGAAGUGCUGAGUUUUGUCAUACUGUAGAUGUCCACUACAAAUUGAGCACAUGUAAAGUUUUGAUAAAAAUAAACAGGUUGUAUUAAUCUCUAUUCCUAAAUUCUCCACCAUACUAUUCAUUUAUUAAUUGUAUUAGUGAAAAGUGGGGUCCUCUGCCUGACACUGGUCUAGUUACCAUGGAAAUGGAGAAUGGGGAGGAAAAUGGAAGAAAGGUAAACAAAACAAAUGAAUUAAUUUUUGAAGGUCUGUUUGUGUUUUAACUAUUCAGCCAUUACAACACUCAGAAGAAUCUUGCUUCUCAUUUUAUUCCUAUUGCCUGCUCAAAAUUCCUUGUUCACACUAUCUUUUCAAGUUACGUUUACAUGUUCACAUUUGUGAAGGGCUUUGGAAGGGAGUUUCAACUGUGCUGUGCUGUAUUUCAGAGAAAAGGCCUGUGCUAACUUCUAAGGUCACUGGAAACACCAAGUACAAGUGUCCCAUAAAGAAAAAGCAUGAUUUGGGUGAGAAAUCAUGUUUGGCUGCAACAUAGGGAAGAGGUUGGAGAUAGAGAAGCAGAUGGAGGGCAGAUUAGAGGCUUUAGAAGGUUAAGGGAAGGAAUUUGUUUUAUCCUAAAUAAGAUGGGAAAUCUAUAGCAAAUAUAUAGAGAGCUUUGCUUAGCACUGUUCUAAUCUUUUUACAUAGAUAAAUUUAUUAUCCUCACAGCAUCCCAGUAAAAUUAGUAUUAUGGGACACCUGGGUGGCUCAGUCAGAACCCCAGGAUCAUGAGAUGCUCAACCACUGAUCCUGGGGUUCUGGGAUUGAGUCCUACAUCAGGCUCCCCAUGGGGAGCCUGCUUCUCCCUUUGUCUGUCUCUGCCUCUCUCUGUCUCUCUCACGAAUAAUUUUUUUAAAAAAAGCAUUAUGAUUUUUUAACAUCCAUAUUACAGAUGAGGAAGCAGAGGUUCUAAAAGGUUAUAUAACCCACCCAAGGUCACCAAGCUAGUGAGAGGCAGAACCAGGAUUGAAACCUAGUUUCAAGGCCUAAGCACUCAACCUCCAUACUUGAGCACCUUUCUACUGCAUCAUAUAAUUUAAAAGUCAUAGUGGAGCUUAGAGUGGAAUCCCAUAUUUCAACCCUAAAGUCCAUACUCAAGACACUACACAAUACUGGAUUAAGGGAGGAACAGAUUUGUAGAUGGAAAUUAUGAACUUCCUUUGAAUAUGUUAAGGCAUUUAUGUCUUAGACUUCUGUAGGCAUCUUCAGGAGAUACUGUGUUUAUAGCGCUAAUCUUCCUUAAAAACUGCUGUUGGUAGGUGUUCUAUAUGAAACUAAGGCUCAGUUUUGUGGCUUGCCCAGAUGGUGUAUCCAAAUUAGAAUCGAGGUCAGGAGUUGACCACUUUUUCUGUAAAGAACAAGUUAGUAAAUAUUUUAGACAUUGAGGACCAUCAGGUCCCUGUCACAACUACUGAAAUACACUAUGGUGCAAAAGCAGCCAUAGACUAUCUAAGCAAAUGAGUGUGUCUAUGUUCCAAUACAACUUUCUAUAGACAACGAAACUUGAAUUAAAUAGUUUUCAUGUUAUGAAAUAUUCUUUUGAUUUUCCCUAUUUAAACAAAUAAUCCUUAGCUUGUGGCAUAUACAAAAAUAGGACAGCUAACUGGAUUUGGUCUGGAGGCUAUGACCUAGGUGGUUGGAUUCAAAACCCUGGAGUGUGCUCACAAAACUAGUAAUAACCACAGAAAUAAAAAAUAUAGGAUUGUUCUAAGGCCUAAAUGAGAUUAUGGCUACAAAGUACUUAGCACAAUUUCUAGUAGUUAGUAAGCUAUCAAAGGUCAAUUAGUAUCUUACCUGAUAAGUCCUGUCUUCAUUUGGCAUUUAGACUCCAGAGAUUUAAGAACUGUUUUCAAAUUGCAAUGUGAUUAGUCUAACAGUAAGUGGCACUCUUAUCUCAAGUUUAGAAGCUGCAGUCAGGGAGUAGGCAGGAGAAACUCAGGUGCUGCUUAUGAUACUGAGCUUGUUUUUAUUCAACAAGUGAGACUUGUUGCCUAUGUCUCUAGCCUACAAAAUCUUUUCUCCUGGAGAGAACGGGGGUGAAUUUUUCAAAAUACUUAGUAUUAUGUUGUGAAUACAGUCUUUUGAUCAGAGCUUUUGUUUCCCGGACAAGACCUGGGGGAGGCCUUGGUGCUGUUUGUUUGUACUGAGUGAAUGAUGACAGAUGCUUCUCACGUUUGCUUAACACACAUGACCAAGGUCUGUGAGUAAGGGAAGAUGUUCAAAGGAUAGGAGUCAGGUGGGGAGGCAUUGCUGGGCUGACCAGGAAUGCGUUAUAUCAGAACUACAAGGAAUGAUGUCUUUCAGGUCUUUAUUGAUUUUUUCAUUCAUUCUUUCAACAAACACGAAGAUCUGCUAUGAAUACCAUCCAACUGUUAGGAGCCAUUCAGAAUGAAAAUACUGACAUGGAAAGAUAUUCUAAAUACGAUAAAAGCAAGUUACUAUAUGUAGUCUGAGUUCAUAUUUGUGUCUAAGUAUAUUCAAAUUGGAAAAAUAAAAAUGAUUUUGUGGGUAAAGAAAUUGAGACUUAAGAAUGUAACUUGCUCUACACCAAGGACACUUCAGCUAACAAAUGGCAGAAUUAAACCUCAGGUGUAAAAGAAAAGAGAAAGAGAAAGGCAUGGUGGAAUUGGAGCCCCAGUAUUUACUGGCUGUGUAGCCUUAACUGUGGUAAUCCUUGUACCCUCUCAUAGGGUAGGUACUAUUAAUGUUGAAAAUGAAAGAGGAGACUCACUCUAAUUCUUUCUGAAGCAGUAUAUUCAGUUAGGUCUCAGGCUUGCUAAUCACGUGUGCAGAAGUGUUUGAUCUGGAAGGGCUGAGGGGGGACCUAGGAGGCUUAUGUGGUGCAUGUGUCUAGGCACUAAGCCAUCGCUAUUUACGGGAGAGAGUAAUAAAGAAGAAGAAGAAAAAAAGGAAGGCACAAAUAAUAGAAAUGAAAAAGGGACAUUCCUAUACAUUUUAUGGACAGUAUGCAAUAAUCUGAAAAUAUUGUGGAUAAGUUUAUAUGAAUAAAUGUAAAAAUUUAGACAAAAAUAGACAAAUUCUUAUAAAGUUACCAGUAUUGGUUUAAGAAUAGAAAACUUGAAUAGCUUUCUAAUGAUUUUUUUUUAAAAACAUACCAGUAGUCAAAUUCUUCUCACAAAGAAAACUUAAAGUUCAAAUAGCUUUGCUAGCAAGUUCUACCAAACAUUGUCAGAAAAAAACAAAAAACAAGCUUAUUUUAUGUAGACUCUUUCAGAGAAUAGAUAAAGAGGGAACAUUCUCUUUGUGAGACUAGCAUAGAUAAAAUACUAGCACAUUCGACCCAGGAAUAUGUAAAAAUAAAAGGUAAUGUUUUAUGGUCAAUCUGUUUAUUUUAGGAAUGCAGAAUAGAAAAUUAGUCUAUCAUAAUAGAUUAAAAGAGAAAAAUCACUUGAUCAUCUCAACAGAUGUAUGAAAGGCAUUUAUAAAAUUUAGUAUCCAUUCAUGAAAAAAAGAAAAAAA
This 3779-nucleotide long non-coding RNA is filed under the name Canis lupus familiaris (dog). Its description in RNAcentral is "lncRNA (ENSCAFG00845002425.1)". Lineage: Eukaryota; Metazoa; Chordata; Mammalia; Carnivora; Canidae. The record is from RNAcentral.